RNAcentral lists this transfer RNA (75 nucleotides) under Marmota monax (woodchuck). Its description in RNAcentral is "tRNA.Ala". Lineage: Eukaryota; Metazoa; Chordata; Mammalia; Rodentia; Sciuridae. The record is from RNAcentral.
GGGGUUGUAGCUCAGUGGUAGAUUGCCUGCCUUGCAUGCAAGUGUGAGGCACUGGGUUUGAUCCUCAGCACCACA